Molecule: ribosomal RNA, 490 nt
Filed under: uncultured bacterium
Lineage: Bacteria
Description: partial 16S ribosomal RNA
Rfam family: Bacterial small subunit ribosomal RNA
Source: RNAcentral
GAUGAACGCUAGCUACAGGCUUAACACAUGCAAGUCGAGGGGAAACGAUGAGAGAGCUUGCUCUCUUAGGCGUCGACCGGCGCACGGGUGAGUAACGCGUAUCCAACCUACCCAUUACAGGGGGAUAACCUUGCGAAAGUAAGACUAAUACCCCAUGGCAUUUUAUGGUAGCAUCAUUAUAGGAUUAAAGAUUUAUUGGUAAUGGAUGGGGAUGCGUCUGAUUAGCUUGUUGGCGGGGUAACGGCCCACCAAGGCAACGAUCAGUAGGGGUUCUGAGAGGAAGGUCCCCCACAUUGGAACUGAGACACGGUCCAAACUCCUACGGGAGGCAGCAGUGAGGAAUAUUGGUCAAUGGGCGAGAGCUUGAACCAGCCAAGUAGCGUGCAGGAUGACGGCCCUAUGGGUUGUAAACUGCCUUUAUAGGGGAAUAAAGUGAGCUACGUGUAGUUUAUUGCAUGUACCCUAUGAAUAAGGACCGGCUAAUUCCGUG